CUACGGGAGGCAGCAGUGAGGAAUAUUGGUCAAUGGACGCAAGUCUGAACCAGCCAUGCCGCGUGCAGGAUGACGGUCCUAUGGAUUGUAAACUGCUUUUGUACAGGAAGAAACACUCCCUCGUGAGGGAGCUUGACGGUACUGUAAGAAUAAGGAUCGGCUAACUCCGUGCCAGCAGCCGCGGUAAUACGGAGGAUCCAAGCGUUAUCCGGAAUCAUUGGGUUUAAAGGGUCCGUAGGCGGUUUUAUAAGUCAGUGGUGAAAUCUGGUCGCUCAACGAUCAAACGGCCAUUGAUACUGUAGAACUUGAAUUAUUAGGAAGUAACUAGAAUAUGUAGUGUAGCGGUGAAAUGCUUAGAGAUUACAUGGAAUACCAAUUGCGAAGGCAGGUUACUACUAAUAUAUUGACGCUGAGGGACGAAAGCGUGGGGAGCGAACAGGAUUAGAAACCCUUGUAGUCC
This 460-nucleotide ribosomal RNA is filed under the name uncultured bacterium. RNAcentral's name for it is "bacterial SSU rRNA". It matches the Rfam family "Bacterial small subunit ribosomal RNA", at positions 339 to 796 of the family's 1533-position model. The record is from RNAcentral.